UUAACUAAAACCAAAAUUAGCGGUAAAUUAUUGUUAAUAAUUUUAAUGAAAAUUAAUCCUUCUAGUUGAA
This 70-nucleotide transfer RNA is filed under the name Vollenhovia emeryi. RNAcentral describes it as "tRNA-Asn". The record is from RNAcentral. Lineage: Eukaryota; Metazoa; Arthropoda; Insecta; Hymenoptera; Formicidae.